GUGGGGAAUAUUGGACAAUGGGCGAAAGCCUGAUCCAGCCAUGCCGCGUGUGUGAAGAAGGUCUUCGGAUUGUAAAGCACUUUAAGUUGGGAGGAAGGGUAGUAACCUAAUACGUUGCUACUUUGACGUUACCGACAGAAUAAGCACCGGCUAACUUCGUGCCAGCAGCCGCGGUAAUACGAAGGGUGCAAGCGUUAAUCGGAAUUACUGGGCGUAAAGCGCGCGUAGGUGGUUUUGUAAGUUGGAGGUGAAAUCCCCGGGCUCAACCUGGGAACUGCAUCCAAAACUGGCGAGCUAGAGUACGGUAGAGGGUGGUGGAAUUUCCUGUGUAGCGGUGAAAUGCGUAGAUAUAGGAAGGAACACCAGUGGCGAAGGCGACCACCUGGACUGAUACUGACACUGAGGUGCGAAAGCGUGGGGAGCAAACAGGAUUAGAUACCCGAGUAGUCC
RNAcentral lists this ribosomal RNA (450 nucleotides) under uncultured bacterium. RNAcentral's name for it is "partial 16S ribosomal RNA". It matches the Rfam family "Bacterial small subunit ribosomal RNA", at positions 354 to 796 of the family's 1533-position model. The record is from RNAcentral.